GCUGGUGGGUGCCCACAGUCCCAGCUACUCAGGAGGCUGAGGCGGGAGGAUCCCUUGAGCUCAGGAGUUCUGGGUCGUACUAUAUGUCAUGCCUAUCGGGAGUCCACACUAAGAUCAGCAUCAAUACAGUGACCUCCCGGGAGCAAGGGACCAUCGGGUAGCCUAAGAGAGGGGUGAACCAGCCCAGGUCAGAAACGGAGCAGGUCAGAACUACCAGGCUGAUGAAUAGUGGGGUCGUGCCCGUGAGUAGCCACUGCACACCAGCCUGGGCAACAUAGCCAGAUCCCAUCUUU
Molecule: signal recognition particle RNA, 293 nt
Filed under: Microcebus murinus (gray mouse lemur)
Lineage: Eukaryota; Metazoa; Chordata; Mammalia; Primates; Cheirogaleidae
Description: Metazoan signal recognition particle RNA (ENSMICG00000026966.2)
Rfam family: Metazoan signal recognition particle RNA
About the family: The signal recognition particle (SRP) is a universally conserved ribonucleoprotein. It is involved in the co-translational targeting of proteins to membranes.
Source: RNAcentral